RNAcentral lists this ribosomal RNA (406 nucleotides) under uncultured bacterium. RNAcentral's name for it is "partial 16S ribosomal RNA". It matches the Rfam family "Bacterial small subunit ribosomal RNA", at positions 30 to 526 of the family's 1533-position model. The record is from RNAcentral.
AUUGAACGCUGGCGGCAGGCCUAACACAUGCAAGUCGAGCGAGUGGCGGACGGGUGAGUAAUGUAUGGGAAUCUGCCGGAUAGUGGGGGAUAACCACUCGAAACGGUGGCUAAUACCGCAUAUUAUUGGAUGGACCCAUAACGGAUUAGCUGGUUGGUGGGGUAAAGGCUCACCAAGGCGACGAUCUCUAGCGGGUUUGAGAGGAUAAUCAGCCACACUGGGGCUGUGACACGGCCCAAAUGCCUACGAGAGGCAGCAGUGGGGAAUUUUGGACAAUGGGGUCAAGCCUGAUCCAGCCAUGCCGCGUGUAUGAAGGAGGCCUUAGGGUUGUAAAGUACUUUUGGCAGGGAGGCGUUACCUAAAGAAUAAGCACCGGCUAACUGCGUGCCAGCAGCCGCGGUAAUAC